Podarcis lilfordi (Lilford's wall lizard) is the source of this 73-nucleotide non-coding RNA. The record is from the annotation of a GenBank genome assembly. Lineage: Eukaryota; Metazoa; Chordata; Lepidosauria; Squamata; Lacertidae.
ACCUUGGUAGCUCAUUCAGUAGAGCAUAUGACUCUUAAUCUCAAAGUUGUGGGUUCAAGCCCCAUGUUGGGCA